CGCGGUGAUUUAACAGCUUUUGUUUUGGGCAGAAGAACCUAUGGGCACAAAAAGCAGGAACGAGUAGCGGUGGCUGAAGAACGAGCAGGAGCUUGAAUUUCAGUUUUCUUAUGAGGAAUUUUCCAGAAAAGAUAUCUUCACUGUGAAAUAACUAAAUAAAUGCCCACUCAGUACAGUCACUGUCUCCCUUUUGGAACUUGAUGGCACCUUAAGCCCAGGUUUGCCUCCACUCUAGAAACUCAUCAGAGUGAUGCCCUUCUCAAAUGGGGGAGGUCCCAAAGCGGAUAUCCUGGCAGUGUGAAAGGCCGGCUAAAGCUUUCCCUGCACUCCAAACACAGAGCUGAGACUUCCACCUAAUGUAGAAAGCUAGCACGAGCCGGCGCUGACAGAUGGAAGACUUGAGAUGUUACAAGAUUAUAUAUGGAAACACAAAAGGAGUGGAGUUGCUGGGUCAUAUGGCAAUUCAUUUGAGGAACUGAGAAGCUUAUUCCAUGGAGGCUGAACUGUUUUAUAUUCCCACCAGCAACGUUAGAGACGGGGUUUCACCGCGUUAGCCAGAAUGGUUUCUAUCUCCUGACCUCAUGAUCCGCCCACCUCGGCCUCCCAAAGUGCUGGGAUUACAGGCGUGAGCCACUGUGCCUGGCCAAACGCUGGUAGGUUUUGAGUGAGACCACAUUACAUUUAAAUAUAUUUACAAUGUUUUCUGCUCUAUUCUUUAGUAGACUUUUCCUCACGUGGUCCUACGCAUUUCUUUCUAAGUUUAUUUUCAUAUAGCCUAUCCCUGUCUACAAUUUAAAUUGGGAUCUUCUAUAUUCUAGUUAUUAUUUGUAAAUAAGAAAACUACUGACUUUUUUCUAGUAUAUUUUCUCAGAAUAGGAUUUUCUAUUUUUCUAUAAAAUGACCAAUGUUAUGAAGCUUCGUAAGUUUUGUCAAAGUGAUACACACAUACAGCAAAAAAUCAAAUAGUACAGAAGUAUAAAAGCAACAACCUCUGCCUUGCCCCUUCUCCACCUUCAGGUCCCCUUCCCAGAUACAAUAAUUUUUAGCUUUUUAUUUUUAAUUAUUCUGGUUGUUACCUACAUAACUCUGGGCAAUAUGGAAAAGUUAUUGAUUUUGUAUAUUAAUUUCAUAAUCAGUUACCUUGAUGAAUUCUCUUGUUUCUAGUAGUUUUUCUUUAGGGUUUUAAAGGGAUACAAUCAUACCAUUUGCAGUUAGUAACCAUUUUAUCUCCUCUUAUUUCCAACUUCGUACUGUUUUCUCUUGUCUAAUUUGUUUUUAAUUGGUGGGUACUUCUAGAACAAGGUUAAAUAAAAGUGGUGUUGGUGGGCGUCCUUAUUUCUGAUAUUAAUGGGAAUGAGUAUAAUGUAUAAAUAUAUAACCAUGAUUUUGGUUUUUUUCCAAGUUUUUAUCAGUAAUGAUUGCUGAGUUUUAUCAAAAUUUUUUUGGCAUCCAUUGAGAGGAUUAUAUAUUACUCUUUGACACAUUAAUGUGGUUAAUUAAAGUAACCAACUUAUUAACCUUGAAAUAGUCUUAGUUAAAUAAACCCUACUUGUCAAUGCUAUAUCAUUAUUUUAAUAUUGUACUGAACAUUUUACAAAGGUGUUUCACCAUAAGGCAUAUUGAUCUGUAAUUUUUUUUUUUCUGUUGAACUUGCUAUUGUCAGGUUUUGGUGUAUUAUGUUGGUUUUGGAGAAUAAAUUUAAAAGUUUCCUUUAUGUUAUCUAUACAUUGCCUGAAAAGAGUUUAAAUAGCAUUGAAAAUGAUCUCUUCUUUGAAGAUUUAACCAAUUUCACCUGUAAAUCUGUCUGUGCUUUGUAAUUUUGGUGAUACUGUUGACUCAAAUUCCAAAAGCAGUAAAUGCAGUGUUUUAUAUUUUUCUAUUAAAAAUGUAAAAUCAAAUUAUAUUA
This 1906-nucleotide long non-coding RNA is filed under the name Homo sapiens (human). Its description in RNAcentral is "PREDICTED lncRNA (TCONS_00152801)". Lineage: Eukaryota; Metazoa; Chordata; Mammalia; Primates; Hominidae. The record is from RNAcentral.